RNAcentral lists this ribosomal RNA (915 nucleotides) under Leptosphaerulina argentinensis. RNAcentral describes it as "LSU rRNA". It matches the Rfam family "Eukaryotic large subunit ribosomal RNA", at positions 32 to 967 of the family's 3401-position model. The record is from RNAcentral. Lineage: Eukaryota; Fungi; Ascomycota; Dothideomycetes; Pleosporales; Didymellaceae.
ACUUAGCAUAUCAAUAAGCGGAGGAAAAGAAACCAACAGGGAUUGCCCUAGUAACGGCGAGUGAAGCGGCAACAGCUCAAAUUUGAAAUCUGGCGUCUUUGGCGUCCGAGUUGUAAUUUGCAGAGGGCGCUUUGGCAUUGGCAGCGGUCCAAGUUCCUUGGAACAGGACGUCACAGAGGGUGAGAAUCCCGUACGUGGUCGCUAGCCUUUACCGUGUAAAGCCCCUUCGACGAGUCGAGUUGUUUGGGAAUGCAGCUCUAAAUGGGAGGUAAAUUUCUUCUAAAGCUAAAUACUGGCCAGAGACCGAUAGCGCACAAGUAGAGUGAUCGAAAGAUGAAAAGCACUUUGGAAAGAGAGUUAAAAAGCACGUGAAAUUGUUGAAAGGGAAGCGCUUGCAGCCAGACUUGCCUGUAGUUGCUCAUCCGGGUUUCUACCCGGUGCACUCUUCUAUAGGCAGGCCAGCAUCAGUUUGGGCGGUUGGAUAAAGGUCUCUGUCAUGUACCUCCUUUCGGGGAGAACUUAUAGGGGAGACGACAUGCAACCAGCCUGGACUGAGGUCCGCGCAUCUGCUAGGAUGCUGGCGUAAUGGCUGUAAGCGGCCCGUCUUGAAACACGGACCAAGGAGUCUAACAUCUAUGCGAGUGUUUGGGUGUCAAGCCCGAGCGCGUAAUGAAAGUGAACGGAGGUGGGAACCUUUCGGGGUGCACCAUCGACCGAUCCUGAUGUCUUCGGAUGGAUUUGAGUAAGAGCAUAGCUGUUGGGACCCGAAAGAUGGUGAACUAUGCUUGAAUAGGGUGAAGCCAGAGGAAACUCUGGUGGAGGCUCGCAGCGGUUCUGACGUGCAAUCGAUCGUCAAAUUUGGGCAUAGGGGCGAAAGACUAAUCGAACUAUCUAGUAGCUGGUUCCUGCCGAAGU